This 393-nucleotide ribosomal RNA is filed under the name uncultured bacterium. Its description in RNAcentral is "bacterial SSU rRNA". It matches the Rfam family "Bacterial small subunit ribosomal RNA", at positions 505 to 898 of the family's 1533-position model. The record is from RNAcentral.
GUGUCAGCCGCCGCGGUAAUACGUAGGGGGCAAGCGUUAUCCGGAUUUAUUGGGCGUAAAGCGCGCGCAGGCGGUUCAUUAAGUUAGGUGUUCAAGGCAACGGCUCAACCGUUGUACGCACCUAAAACUGGUGGGCUUGAGUGCAGAAGAGGAGAGUGGAAUUCCUGGUGUAGCGGUGGAAUGCGUAGAUAUCAGGAGGAACACCAGUGGCGAAGGCGACUCUCUGGUCUGUAACUGACGCUGAGGCGCGAAAGCGUGGGGAGCAAACAGGAUUAGAUACCCUGGUAGUCCACGCCGUAAACGAUGAGUGCUAGGUGUCGGAGACUUCCCGUCUUCGGUGCCGAAGGUAACCCAUUAAGCACUCCGCCUGGGGAGUACGGCCGCAAGGCUGAA